CUACGGGGGGCUCCAGUAACGAAUAUUGCACAAUGAACGAAAGUUUUAUGCAGCAAUGCCGCGUGUAGGAUGAAGCCCCUCGGGGUGUAAACUACUGUCAGGGGCUAGAAAGUGCGCUUCGGCGUAUUGAUCAACCCCAGAGGAAGCAACGGCUAACUUCGUGCCAGCAGCCGCGGUAAUACGAAGGUUGCAAGCGUUGUUCGGAAUCACUGGGCUUAAAGCGCGCGUAGGCGGAAUUUCAAGUGUCUUGUGAAAGCCCCCGGCUUAACCGGGGAAUUGCUCGGCAAACUGGAAUUCUUGAGACAAGUAGGGGUACAUGGAACUCUUAGUGGAGCGGUGGAAUGCGUAGAUAUUAAGAGGAACGCCAAUGGUGAAGACAGUGUACUGGGCUUGUUCUGACGCUGAGGUGCGAAAGCGUGGGGAGCGAACGGGAUUAGAUACCCUGGUAGUC
RNAcentral lists this ribosomal RNA (451 nucleotides) under uncultured bacterium. RNAcentral's name for it is "partial 16S ribosomal RNA". It matches the Rfam family "Bacterial small subunit ribosomal RNA", at positions 339 to 795 of the family's 1533-position model. The record is from RNAcentral.